This 283-nucleotide ribosomal RNA is filed under the name uncultured Barnesiella sp. RNAcentral's name for it is "partial 16S ribosomal RNA". It matches the Rfam family "Bacterial small subunit ribosomal RNA", at positions 355 to 635 of the family's 1533-position model. The record is from RNAcentral. Lineage: Bacteria; Pseudomonadati; Bacteroidota; Bacteroidia; Bacteroidales; Barnesiellaceae.
GGAGGAAUAUUGGGUCAAUGGGCGAGAGCCUGAACCAGCCCAGUCGCGUGAGGGAAGACGGUCCUACGGAUUGUAAACCUCUUUUGUCGGGGAGUAAUAGGCGGGACGUGUCCUGCUGUGAGAGUACCCGAAGAAAAAGCAUCGGCUAACUCCGUGCCAGCAGCCGCGGUAAUACGGAGGAUGCGAGCGUUAUCCGGAUUUAUUGGGUUUAAAGGGUGCGCAGGCGGCGUGCCAAGUCAGCGGUCAAAGUUCCGGGCUCAACCCGGUGAUGCCGUUGAAACUG